This 253-nucleotide ribosomal RNA is filed under the name uncultured bacterium. RNAcentral describes it as "partial 16S ribosomal RNA". It matches the Rfam family "Bacterial small subunit ribosomal RNA", at positions 524 to 776 of the family's 1533-position model. The record is from RNAcentral.
UACAGAGGGUGCAAGCGUUGUUCGGAAUUACUGGGCGUAAAGCGCGUGUAGGCGGUUUGGUAAGUCAGACGUGAAAUCCCUCGGCUCAACUGAGGAACUGCGUCUGAUACUGCUAGACUAGAGUGUCGGAGGGGAUGGUGGAAUUCCUGGUGUAGAGGUGAAAUUCGUAGAGAUCAGGAGGAACACCUGUGGCGAAGGCGACCAUCUGGAAGACAACUGACGCUGAGACGCGAAAGCGUGGGUAGCAAACAGG